AACAUCCAUAGAACUAUCAUUGAUUGACAGAGUAUUAAAUGAAAAUAAU
This 49-nucleotide non-coding RNA is filed under the name Trypanosoma brucei brucei. The record is from RNAcentral. Lineage: Eukaryota; Euglenozoa; Kinetoplastea; Trypanosomatida; Trypanosomatidae.